This 133-nucleotide ribosomal RNA is filed under the name uncultured bacterium. Its description in RNAcentral is "partial 16S ribosomal RNA". It matches the Rfam family "Bacterial small subunit ribosomal RNA", at positions 356 to 483 of the family's 1533-position model. The record is from RNAcentral.
GCUGAAUUAUUCGCCAAUGCGCGAAAGCGUGACGGUGCGACGCCGCGUGCGGGACGAAGGCUUUCGGGUUGUAAACCGCUGUCAAGAUAUAGAAAACUGGUGUCGUUAAUAGCGGCAUCACUGAUCAUAUCUA